This 598-nucleotide unclassified non-coding RNA is filed under the name Hevea brasiliensis (rubber tree). Lineage: Eukaryota; Viridiplantae; Streptophyta; Magnoliopsida; Malpighiales; Euphorbiaceae. The record is from RNAcentral.
CUUAUUGAGGGCUCUGCCAGCUCCUGAUGAUGUUAAAAGUUGAAAAGAAGAAAUACAAUAAAUGUAUCUUUAGUUCUGCAAAUGUAAAUAGGUUCAACAAAAGUUAUACAGCCUUGUGUUUUCCUUAAAAACCAGAUAUUCCAAGGAAAUGCAUUAAAAUUAAUAAAAUACAAAAGUCUAAUUUCUUUUAUCUUCUUGCCUUUCAGCAAGUCUGAAUAUGCUAAAAUAAAUCUUGCAACAAUUCUAGUAAAAUCCAUCAAAAGAAUAUAUAAUUAGCUCUGUGCAUGUAUAUUAUUAAGGACCACAAUGGUAAAAAUCUAAUGGGAAGAUAUGCCAGCAAGCCCAGAAAUCUGCCCAUGACAAAUAUCAGUCCAAAAAAUCUGCCACUGAAUAAUUUGAUUCAUGAACUAAAACAACCCUACUCCUCAGUCUACAAAAUGAAUAUAAGCAUUCACACACCGACAAAUAGACAACUCCUAAACAUAACAUAACAUAUCAUAUAUGCAAAAGAGCACCAAAUGACUUAAUUUUCCUCUCACACAUACCUACAUAGGGAGGCAUAUCAGACACAGCAUUUCACUGUUGGGCUACAAUACAC